UGUAGUCUGCAACUCGACUACAUGAAGCUGGAAUCGCUAGUAAUCGCGAAUCAGAAUGUCGCGGUGAAUACGUUCCCGGGUCCUUGUACACACCGCCCGUCACACCAUGGGAGUUGGGAAUGCCCGAAGCCGGUGACCUAACCGAAAGGGAGGAGCCGUCGAAGGCAGGCUUGAUAACUGGGGUGAAGUCGUAACAAGGUAGC
RNAcentral lists this ribosomal RNA (203 nucleotides) under uncultured bacterium. RNAcentral's name for it is "partial 16S ribosomal RNA". It matches the Rfam family "Bacterial small subunit ribosomal RNA", at positions 1299 to 1500 of the family's 1533-position model. The record is from RNAcentral.